ACAAGACUUUAAUGGCAGUAUAUUGGUGGCCCUCUAUAUUUUUUGAUGCACACCAAUUUGUUCGUUAUUGUGACCCCUGUCAACGAAUGGGUUGACCCAUGGACACUUCAACCAUGCCAUUGUCGUAAUACGUGAAGUCUUGCUUGAGAAUGCUCCGAGCACUUGGCUCUGGAAGGAAGAAUAGAAAUUACAAUAAAAAAAUCUUAAUUCUAAUAGAAUACUAACAAUGCUCUAAUUAAACCAUAAUAAUGCUAAGCAAGCUUUAUCAAAUUCAAAAAAAUCUCAAAGAAAUUUCAAACAAACAAUAAGAAUUCUUAAAGAAAUAUUAGAAGGAUCACAAAUAUCACUCAAAUAUAUCUCAAUUCAAUCUUAAUUUAAUUCUAGUUAAAAUCCCAUUGAACUUCAUUCAAACUUUAGGCCAAAACUAAUUGAAUCUUAAAUCCUAAUAAAAUCCUAAACCCUAAAUCAAAUCUUAAACAAACCUUAAAUCAAAUCCCAACCAAAUCCUAAAUCAAAUCCUAACCAAAUCCUAAAUCGAAUCCUAACCAAAUCCUAAAUCAAAUCCUAACCAAAUCCUAAUCCAAAUCCUAAAUCCUAAACCAAAUCCUAACUAAAUCCUAAACCCUAAAUCAAAUCUUAACCAAAUCCUAAAUCCUAAACCAAAUCCUAAUCAAAUCCUAAUCAAAUCUUAAAUCCUAAAUCAAAUCCUAAAUCCUAAAUCAAAUCCUAAUCUAAAUCUUAAAUCCUAAAUCAACUCCUAAUCAAACCCUAAAUCCUAAAUUAAAUCCUAAUCCAAAUCCUAAACCCUAAAUCAAAUCCUAACCAAAUCCUUAACCAAAUCCUAGUAAUUCCUACAACAGAUUUAAACCUCAAUAACUAAUGAAUAAACCAUUGAUCUUAAUU
RNAcentral lists this long non-coding RNA (903 nucleotides) under Physcomitrium patens. Its description in RNAcentral is "long non-coding RNA (PPAT_LNC014809)". The record is from RNAcentral. Lineage: Eukaryota; Viridiplantae; Streptophyta; Bryopsida; Funariales; Funariaceae.